CCUACGGGUGGCUGCAGUGGGGAAUAUUGGACAAUGGGCGAAAGCCUGAUCCAGCCAUGCCGCGUGUGUGAAGAAGGCCUUCGGGUUGUAAAGCACUUUCAGUGGGGAAGAAAGCCUUGGGGCUAAUACCCUCGAGGAAGGACAUCACCCACAGAAGAAGCACCGGCUAACUCCGUGCCAGCAGCCGCGGUAAUACGGAGGGUGUGAGCGUUAAUCGGAAUUACUGGGCGUAAAGCGCGCGUAGGCGGUCUGAUAAGCCGGUUGUGAAAGCCCCGGGCUCAACCUGGGAACGGCAUCCGGAACUGUCAGGCUAGAGUGCAGGAGAGGAAGGUAGAAUUCCCGGUGUAGCGGUGAAAUGCGUAGAGAUCGGGAGGAAUACCAGUGGCGAAGGCGGCCUUCUGGACUGACACUGACGCUGAGGUGCGAAAGCGUGGGUAGCAAACAGGAUUAGAUACCCUGGUAUUC
RNAcentral lists this ribosomal RNA (465 nucleotides) under Vreelandella stevensii. RNAcentral's name for it is "partial 16S ribosomal RNA". It matches the Rfam family "Bacterial small subunit ribosomal RNA", at positions 338 to 795 of the family's 1533-position model. Lineage: Bacteria; Pseudomonadati; Pseudomonadota; Gammaproteobacteria; Oceanospirillales; Halomonadaceae. The record is from RNAcentral.